RNAcentral lists this ribosomal RNA (253 nucleotides) under uncultured bacterium. RNAcentral's name for it is "partial 16S ribosomal RNA". It matches the Rfam family "Bacterial small subunit ribosomal RNA", at positions 524 to 776 of the family's 1533-position model. The record is from RNAcentral.
UACGAACGGUCCAAACGUUAUUCGGAAUCACUGGGCUUAAAGCGUCCGUAGGCGGCUCGGAAAGUAGGGUGUGAAAUCCCACGGCUCAACCGUGGAAUUGCGCUCUAAACUAUCGAGCUAGAGGGAGAUAGAGGUGAGCGGAACUGAUGGUGGAGCGGUGAAAUGCGUUGAUAUCAUCAGGAACACCAGUGGCGAAGGCGGCUCACUGGACUGGUAUUGACGCUGAGGUGCGAAAGCGUGGGGAGCAAACAGG